GGUGGAUGCUCGUGGUGCCGCGGUGCUUUGAGACAGACUCACGGCCGGCGAUCGCUGAGUUCAAUGGGUGAGGUGGGGCAGCGCCCUACAACCCAAUUCAGACUACUCUCCCCCGGA
This 117-nucleotide RNase P RNA is filed under the name Antrostomus carolinensis (chuck-will's-widow). Its description in RNAcentral is "Caprimulgus carolinensis (chuck-will's-widow) Nuclear RNase P". It matches the Rfam family "Nuclear RNase P", at positions 166 to 301 of the family's 301-position model. From Rfam's summary of the family: Ribonuclease P (RNase P) is a ubiquitous endoribonuclease, found in archaea, bacteria and eukarya as well as chloroplasts and mitochondria. Its best characterised activity is the generation of mature 5'-ends of tRNAs by cleaving the 5'-leader elements of precursor-tRNAs. Cellular RNase Ps are ribonucleoproteins. The record is from Rfam by way of RNAcentral. Lineage: Eukaryota; Metazoa; Chordata; Aves; Caprimulgiformes; Caprimulgidae.